RNAcentral lists this ribosomal RNA (231 nucleotides) under Clostridioides difficile. Its description in RNAcentral is "partial 16S ribosomal RNA". It matches the Rfam family "Bacterial small subunit ribosomal RNA", at positions 408 to 657 of the family's 1533-position model. The record is from RNAcentral. Lineage: Bacteria; Bacillati; Bacillota; Clostridia; Peptostreptococcales; Peptostreptococcaceae.
AUGAAGGCCUUCGGGUCGUAAAACUCUGUCCUCAAGGAAGAUAAUGACGGUACUUGAGGAGGAAGCCCCGGCUAACUACGGGCCAGCAGCCGCGGUAAUACGUAGGGGGCUAGCGUUAUCCGGAUUGACUGGGCGUAAAGGGUGCGUAGGCGGUCUUUCAAGUCAGGAGUGAAAGGCUACGGCUCAACCGUAGUAAGCUCUUGAAACUGGGAGACUUGAGUGCAGGAGAGG